UACGGAGGAUGCAAGCGUUAUCCGGAAUGAUUGGGCGUAAAGCGUCCGCAGGUGGCCAUGUAAGUCUGCUGUCAAAGCGUCUGGCUCAACCAGAUAAAGGCAGUGGAAACUACAUAGCUAGAGUAAGGUAGGGGUAGAGGGAAUUCCUGGUGUAGCGGUGAAAUGCGCAGAUAUCAGGAGGAACACCAAUUGCGAAGGCAGCUCGCUGGGACGUUACUGACGCUGAGACGCGAAAGCGUGGGGAGCAA
This 248-nucleotide ribosomal RNA is filed under the name uncultured bacterium. RNAcentral describes it as "partial 16S ribosomal RNA". It matches the Rfam family "Bacterial small subunit ribosomal RNA", at positions 524 to 771 of the family's 1533-position model. The record is from RNAcentral.